This 460-nucleotide ribosomal RNA is filed under the name uncultured bacterium. Its description in RNAcentral is "partial 16S ribosomal RNA". It matches the Rfam family "Bacterial small subunit ribosomal RNA", at positions 338 to 795 of the family's 1533-position model. The record is from RNAcentral.
CCUACGGGAGGCAGCAGUGAGGAAUAUUGGUCAAUGGGCUCACGCCUGAACCAGCCAAGUCGCGUGAGGGAAGACUGCCCUAUGGGUUGUAAACCUCUUUUGUCAGGGAGCAACGCCCGCGACGUGUAGCGGGACGGAGAGUACCUGAAGAAAAAGCAUCGGCUAACUCCGUGCCAGCAGCCGCGGUAAUACGGAGGAUGCGAGCGUUAUCCGGAUUUAUUGGGUUUAAAGGGUGCGUAGGCGGACUGCAAAGUCAGCGGUAAAAUCGCGGGGCUCAACCCCGCUCCGCCGUUGAAACUGGCGUCCUUGAGUGGGCGAGAAGUAUGCGGAAUGCGUGGUGUAGCGGUGAAAUGCAUAGAUAUCACGCAGAACUCCGAUUGCGAAGGCAGCAUACCGGCGCCCAACUGACGCUGAAGCACGAAAGCGUGGGUAUCGAACAGGAUUAGAUACCCCUGUAGUC